RNAcentral lists this ribosomal RNA (253 nucleotides) under uncultured bacterium. RNAcentral describes it as "partial 16S ribosomal RNA". It matches the Rfam family "Bacterial small subunit ribosomal RNA", at positions 524 to 776 of the family's 1533-position model. RNAcentral also lists the same sequence under 1 other name. The record is from RNAcentral.
UACGGAGGGUGCGAGCGUUGUCCGGAAUCACUGGGCGUAAAGGGCGCGUAGGUGGCGACCCAAGUCAACGGUGAAAGCUCGGCGCUCAACGCCGAGUCGGCCGUCGAUACUGGGUUGCUCGAGCACUGUAGAGGCAGAUGGAAUUCCGGGUGUAGCGGUGGAAUGCGUAGAGAUCCGGAAGAACACCGGUGGCGAAGGCGGUCUGCUGGGCAGUAGCUGACACUGAGGCGCGACAGCGUGGGGAGCAAACAGG